GUAGGGAAUCUUGCACAAUGGAGGAAACUCUGAUGCAGCGACGCCGCGUGAGUGAUGAAGGCUUUAGGGUUGUAAAGCUCUGUUCUCAGGGAAAAACACAAUGAUUGUACCUGAGGAGAAAGGACCGGCUAACUUCGUGCCAGCAGCCGCGGUAAGACGGGGGGUCCUAGCGUUGUUCGGAAUCAUUGGGCGUAAAGCGGGCGUAGGUGGCUAUGUAAGUCAGGAGUGAAAGCCCUGGGCUCAACCCAGGAAGUGCUUUUGAAACUGCGUAGCUUGAGUGUGGAAGAGGAUAGUGGAAUUCCUGGUGUAGUGGUGAAAUACGUAGAUAUCAGGAGGAACACCGGAGGCGAAGGCGGCUAUCUGGUCCAACACUGACACUGAGGCCCGAAAGCGUGGGGAUCAAACAGGAUUAGAAACCCGGGUAGUCC
RNAcentral lists this ribosomal RNA (428 nucleotides) under uncultured bacterium. RNAcentral describes it as "bacterial SSU rRNA". It matches the Rfam family "Bacterial small subunit ribosomal RNA", at positions 354 to 796 of the family's 1533-position model. The record is from RNAcentral.